This 57-nucleotide transfer RNA is filed under the name Tetragnatha maxillosa. RNAcentral describes it as "tRNA-Leu". The record is from RNAcentral. Lineage: Eukaryota; Metazoa; Arthropoda; Arachnida; Araneae; Tetragnathidae.
UAUAUGGCAGAUAAAUGCAUUAGAUUUAGAAUCUAAUAAUAAAAACUAUAAAUUAUU